UAAAUGUAAUGAUAUACAAGAACAACUAGUGAAAAUGGAAUAUUAAAUUCUAUUGCACUUUAAGCAAUAUUAGAUAUUUCAAAUAUCUUCCUAGGCAACACAUUUUGAAAAAGAUAAAAAUGAACGGGCGAAAGCAGAUGGAUACACAACAGCCAAAACGUUCCAGAUAAAGCAAAUGAAAAAUAAACUGGAAUCAGAGAAAAUAGCUGACCCUAUCCAAAAGCCUAUCAGUGUAGAUCCAUCUUGUGAAACACCAGUGGGGGAUGCCUAUGACUUCAACACAGAUUAUGUAGAGGAUUUGUCACCAAUGCCAAUUAGUUAAGGCCAGGAUGACUAAUGGCUUAAGUAACAGAACAUUGGAACUGUACAGUUUAAAUCUAAAACAAUAACUUCUCUACAAUUUUUUAACGAUGGAGAUUUCAGUGUAAAAAAGCAAAUUGUAUUAUAAACUUGUAAAAUAUAUGUUGGAUUUAAGACAUUAAAUAACUGUGUGGAUUAUA
Molecule: non-coding RNA, 500 nt
Organism: Chiloscyllium plagiosum (whitespotted bambooshark)
Lineage: Eukaryota; Metazoa; Chordata; Chondrichthyes; Orectolobiformes; Hemiscylliidae
Source: RefSeq, a predicted model, not a curated record